This 512-nucleotide ribosomal RNA is filed under the name uncultured bacterium. RNAcentral's name for it is "bacterial SSU rRNA". It matches the Rfam family "Bacterial small subunit ribosomal RNA", at positions 390 to 896 of the family's 1533-position model. The record is from RNAcentral.
CGCAACGCCGCGUGGAGGAUGAAGGUCGUAAGGUUGUAAACUCCUGUGAGAUGGGAAGAAAGCCUGUAGUUCGUAAGGGCUACAGUUUGACUGUACCAUCAGAGGAAGCCCCGGCUAACUACGUGCCAGCAGCCGCGGUAAUACGUAGGGGGCCAGCGUUGUCCGGAUUUACUGGGUGUAAAGGGCGCGUAGGCGGGUUCGUAAGUCAGAGGUGAAAUCUCCCGGCUUAACCGGGAAACUGCCUUUGAUACUGCGAAUCUUGAGUUCAGAAGAGAGAGAUGGAAUUCCAGGUGUAGUGGUGAAAUACGUAGAUAUCUGGAAGAACACCAGUGGCGAAGGCGAUCUCUUGGUCUGAAACUGACGCUGAGGCGCGAAAGCGUGGGUAGCAAACAGGAUUAGAUACCCUGGUAGUCCACGCUGUAAACGAUGAUUACUAGGUGUUGGUUCCACAGGGAUCAGUGCCGCAGCAAACGCAUUAAGUAAUCCACCUGGGGAGUACGAUCGCAAGGUUG